RNAcentral lists this unclassified non-coding RNA (287 nucleotides) under fungal sp. Its description in RNAcentral is "partial internal transcribed spacer region". The stretch from base 1 to 46 matches the Rfam family "Eukaryotic small subunit ribosomal RNA", at positions 1786 to 1831 of the family's 1831-position model. Lineage: Eukaryota; Fungi. The record is from RNAcentral. RNAcentral also lists the same sequence under 1 other name.
AAGUCGUAACAAGGUUUCCGUAGGUGAACCUGCGGAAGGAUCAUUGCUGAUGCCGGCGGCACGUGGUCGAUCCCUCGCGAGGGGGUGAGGCCGCUGCCGCUUUCAACAUCAUCUGCCCCUUUGUGAACCCGGCACUGGAGCGCCGUCGUGGCGAGCGAGCUUUGGGGCCCGCUCGUCCUGGUCUCCUCUGCCCAAACAACCUGUCUUUUAUUGCCUGUCUCCCCAGACUGAAGCAACAAAAACAAAAACAUAUCUUACAACUUUUAACAAUGGAUAUCUUGGCUCGC